Molecule: long non-coding RNA, 688 nt
Organism: Homo sapiens (human)
Lineage: Eukaryota; Metazoa; Chordata; Mammalia; Primates; Hominidae
Source: Ensembl
GGCUGUUGUUGCUGAGCGGAGACAUGGCGAUGCCGAUCUGGGCCAGGUAGUACAGAACCCUGGGGUCAGAACCAGAGCUGCAGCUGGAUGCGAAGCCGGCUGCCCUCCCCAUACCCAGCUCUGCGCUGCCUGCUCACGUGCUCUAAGAAGAGAUGCAGUUCCGGGUGGCUGGCAGGGUGCACAGUGGCCUCGAACAGUGGCAGGAAGAUGUUCUCCAGCAUCUCCUGGAAGUUGGCCAGCUGGCCCUUGGUACGGUACACAUCACUGCAGGUUCCCCUCCCACUCCAGGGACACUCACAAGAGGCGGGGCACCUGCACCAGCCAGCGCACGUUGGGGGAGUGCACGCGGUGCAUGACGGCCCAGCGCGCCAGCUUGUCCCACUCAUCCCUCGAGCGCCCGUAAAUGGAGAGCCGCAGCUCUGCAUUCUGGUAUUUGCUCUCCUCCAGGUCUGACAUCACCUCCUAGACAUGAGGUGAGCUGAGUCAGACAUGAGGUGAGCUGAGUCAGAGCUCUUCAGGGGGUCAUCUGCCUACCCUCCUUGAGUCUCACCCCCUAAAAGCCCCCAGAUCCUCAGGCUCGAGGCUUGGCAGGGAAGGCUGCCUCCUUACCUUGAUGAUGUGAGCAAAGUACUUCCCAGAUACCCUGUUGUCCGUCUUGAUGAAGAUCUCUCGGAGGACGGACUCCCCA